UACGUAGGGGGCAAGCGUUGUCCGGAAUUAUUGGGCGUAAAGAGCGCGUAGGCGGUCCGAUAAGUCGGCUGUGAAAGUCAGGGGCUCAACCCUUGGAAGCCGGCCGAUACUGUCGGACUAGAGUCCGGAAGAGGCGAGUGGAAUUCCUGGUGUAGCGGUGAAAUGCGCAGAUAUCAGGAGGAACACCAAUGGCGAAGGCAGCUCGCUGGGACGUGACUGACGCUGAGACGCGAAAGCGUGGGGAGCAAACAGG
Molecule: ribosomal RNA, 253 nt
Filed under: uncultured bacterium
Lineage: Bacteria
Description: partial 16S ribosomal RNA
Rfam family: Bacterial small subunit ribosomal RNA
Source: RNAcentral